UGGGGAAUAUUGGACAAUGGGCGGAAGCCUGAUCCAGCAACGCCGCGUGAGGGAUGACGGCCUUCGGGUUGUAAACCUCUUUCAGUACCGACGAAGCGAAAGUGACGGUAGGUACAGAAGAAGGACCGGCCAACUACGUGCCAGCAGCCGCGGUAAUACGUAGGGUCCGAGCGUUGUCCGGAAUUAUUGGGUCGUAAAUGGGCUACGGUNGGCGGUUUGUCGCGUCGGGAGUGAAAACAGCGGGCUUAACUCGUUGCUUGCUUUCGAUACGGGCAGACUAGAGGUAUGCAGGGGAGAAUGGAAUUCCUGGUGUAGCGGUGAAAUGCGCAGAUAUCAGGAGGAACACCGGUGGCGAAGGCGGUUCUCUGGGCAUUACCUGACGCUGAGGAGCGAAAGUGUGGGGAGCGAACAGGAUUAGAUAA
This 422-nucleotide ribosomal RNA is filed under the name uncultured bacterium. RNAcentral's name for it is "partial 16S ribosomal RNA". It matches the Rfam family "Bacterial small subunit ribosomal RNA", at positions 355 to 785 of the family's 1533-position model. The record is from RNAcentral.